AGCCAUGCCACCUUGAAUGCACCUGAUCUCAUCAGAUCUCAGAAGCUAGUUAAGCAGUGAUGGGCCUGGUUAGUACUUGGAUGGGAAAAAAUAGAGAACAUAUAUUUAAAAAGCUU
This is a ribosomal RNA of Pan paniscus (pygmy chimpanzee), 116 nucleotides long. The record is from Ensembl. Lineage: Eukaryota; Metazoa; Chordata; Mammalia; Primates; Hominidae.